CAAUAGCGUAUAUUAAAGUUGUUGCGGUUAAAAAGCUCGUAGUUGGAUUUCUGCUGAGAACGACCGGUCCGCCCUUUGGGUGUGUAUCUGGCUCUUUCUUGGCAUCUUCUUGGUGAACGUUGCUGCACUUGACUGUGUGGAGCGCUACCCAGGACUUUUACUUUGAGGAAAUUAGAGUGUUUCAAGCAGGCAUACGCCUUGAAUACAUUAGCAUGGAAUAAUAAGAUAGGACCUCGGUUCUAUUUUGUUGGUUUCUAGAGCUGAGGUAAUGAUUAAUAGGGAUAGUUGGGGGCAUUCGUAUUUAACUGUCAGGGGUGAAAUUCUUGGAUUUGUUAAAGACGGACUACUGCGAAAGCAUUUGCCAAGGAUGUUUUCAUUGA
This 380-nucleotide ribosomal RNA is filed under the name uncultured eukaryote. Its description in RNAcentral is "partial 18S ribosomal RNA". It matches the Rfam family "Eukaryotic small subunit ribosomal RNA", at positions 592 to 976 of the family's 1831-position model. The record is from RNAcentral.